RNAcentral lists this antisense RNA (117 nucleotides) under Parahaemophilus pittmaniae. RNAcentral's name for it is "Haemophilus pittmaniae Aggregatibacter sRNA 96". It matches the Rfam family "Aggregatibacter sRNA 96". From Rfam's summary of the family: Validated by RT-PCR. Lineage: Bacteria; Pseudomonadati; Pseudomonadota; Gammaproteobacteria; Pasteurellales; Pasteurellaceae. The record is from Rfam by way of RNAcentral.
AUUUGUUUUAAAGCUUCAGCUCCUUUUUCACCAGUUUGUUUAACAAAUUCACCGUAAUACGGUUCCAUCGCAGCUUUAAAUGGAGCGAGAUCCGGAUGAGUUACGGUCAUACCUUGU